GACGAACGCUGGCGGCGUGCUUAACACAUGCAAGUCGAACGGAAAGGCCCUGCUUUUGUGGGGUGCUCGAGUGGCGAACGGGUGAGUAACACGUGAGUAACCUGCCCUUGACUUUGGGAUAACUUCAGGAAACUGGGGCUAAUACCGGAUAGGAGCUCCUGCUGCAUGGUGGGGGUUGGAAAGUUUCGGCGGUUGGGGAUGGACUCGCGGCUUAUCAGCUUGUUGGUGGGGUAGUGGCUUACCAAGGCUUUGACGGGUAGCCGGCCUGAGAGGGUGACCGGCCACUGGGACUGAGAUACGGCCCAGACUCCUACGGGAGGCAGCAGUGGGGAAUAUUGCACAAUGGGCGGAAGCCUGAUGCAGCAACGCCGCGUGCGGGAUGACGGCCUUCGGGUUGUAAACCGCUUUCGCCUGUGACGAAGCGUGAGUGACGGUAAUGGGUAAAGAAGCACCGGCUAACUACGUG
Molecule: ribosomal RNA, 466 nt
Filed under: uncultured bacterium
Lineage: Bacteria
Description: partial 16S ribosomal RNA
Rfam family: Bacterial small subunit ribosomal RNA
Source: RNAcentral